This is an RNA transcript of Zea mays, 2200 nucleotides long. RefSeq lists it as uncharacterized. NCBI's taxonomy places the organism in Eukaryota, Viridiplantae, Streptophyta, Magnoliopsida, Poales, Poaceae. The record is from RefSeq and is marked validated. The transcript has 6 exons.
GGUACCUAAAUUCAUAUCUCUACAACUAUUAAGACCUAAAUGUAGACUGCCCCCGCCUAAUCCCACCCGCCGCUCUGCCUCCCCCGCGGCGAAUCCCGCCCGCGCCUCCCCCGCCAUAGAACCCGCCUCCAACCGUGAAUCGCCCGCCGUGCCUUCACCCGCCGCUCCUCCAUCUCCUCCUCCUCGUCGUCGCCGCCGCCGCGCUGCGGGGGGCGCCGUUGGCGGACGCCGGCGCGGACACCUGCAAGGCGUGGUUGGUGCAGUCCAUCCCCACGGACAUGCCGCACCUGAGCCGCAUCCCCGGGGUCCUAUCCACGGGAGAUGUGCUCCAGUGGCUCUCGGGGAAUGCAACGAAGAGUCUGGACAUCCUUGCGCAGUACUGGCAGUUCUUGCCCCAGCCGAACAAUCCGAAAUCGGGGGACUACGGGUUCUCCAAGAGUGACAUGAGGAGAUUCGGGGCCGACGAGGGCCGCCGGGUUUACAAGGCACUGGAAAAUGCUGCAGACCGUAAGAUCAAAAUCAGGAUUGUCCAGCACUCUGGAUUUGCUCCUGAUUUUGACCAAGAGAGCGCAGAUCUGGCUGCAGGAAGACCAAAUGUUGAGAACGCAACUGUUCUUUUCGAGGACUGGUGGGGAUCUGGUGUUGUGCACGCAAAGGUCUGGAUAUCAGAUAAGAAGGAUGUGUAUAUAGGUUCCGCAAACAACGACUGGAAAUCCCUUACUUAGGUCAAGGAGCUUGGGAUUUAUUUUGCUGGUUGCCCACAGAUAGCAAAAACUGUGGAGGUCUAUUUUCAAAACCUGUGGACGCUUUCAACCCUCAACUCAACUUUUUACACCAAACAAGCCUGGGAUACGCAGUGGCAAGUUUCUAGAAAGGUUCCAUGCUGGUCUCAUUUCCUACAGCCCAAAGAAAGAUGCAGAUUCAUGAUGCACCGCAAAAGGGCCAUCACAAAAUUAUAGAAUUUUAUGAUGUCAGAGCAGCCGAAGGUGCAGCUCGUGCUUUAAACAGGAGUGAUCUUGCUGGCAAGAAAAUAAAACUAGAGACUGGCCGUCUGAGUGGUGCUAGACGGUAUGUCAUUGAAAUGUGAAUAUUGCUGUUCAUUCUCAUAUUUCAUCAGCAAUACUUCCUUUAUUACUUUCGUUCACUCCGUAUUUAACUGUUGAUCAUUUGAUCACAGCUUUAGUGAACCUUAGGUCAUUUUUGGCAAGUUGAACGAUUCUUGCAUAGGCAUCACUGGUAUAUAGUAGCAUCACUUAUUCUAUAUGAUGGUACCUGUGGAUAGGAUGCACAUUAGUUAUGUGCCUGGGUUUUUUGUUUUCUUUUCUCAAGCGGAAAAUCUCUUCCUGGAGCUGUAAACAUUGCACUAUUUUUAUUUUGUCAUGCAUAGAUAGUUACUUAAUCUCUGUUUGUUUAGUUCUGUGUGUGGGCUCUCAUGUCCUAAACAAAACAUUUAUUCUUUUAUAUUGUAGUCCUAAUUCUUUGUAUACAUUUAGGUGUGUUGGUAGAUACUUGUAUGUUAGUUAUUUAGUUAUUGUAGCCCUUCAUUGCCUUCAUUGGGUUCAUCUAAUAUAGUAGCAAUGACAUCUUGUGGACGUGAAAAUGGGAGUAUGCAUGGUUUGCAUUCUGGACUUCUCACAUCAAUGAGCCCGUUCAGAGAGGCUUCAUUUCUGGGUCUAUCAUCUACCCUACCACAGAGCCUGUCCUCUCCCAUUGGAAUUGCUUCUGCUGCAACUCAUAGUAACCAGGCUCCCCUUGGUGAGCUCAGCCACUCUCUUAGUCGGAUGAAUAGGCAUGUGAAUUAUGGUUUUCAAGGCUUGGGUGCUAUUCAUCCCCAUUCUCUUCCUGAUGUUCACAAUGGAGCAAAUAAUGGCACCCCUUACAAUCUGAACACCAUCACACCUAUUGGUGUCAAUAAGAACUCAAGAACAGCUGAAGCAGUUGACAGCAGACAUCUUCAUAAAGUGGGUUCUGGCAAUCUCAAUGGGCACUCAUUUGAUCGUGCCGGUGAAGGAGUUGUAAAGUGGUGGUGAUGAACACAUAAUUCACACAGGUGAGAUAGUCAAAUGAUGAAUAUAUGCACCCUGGAAGGCUGCUACUAAUUACACAUUCCUUGAACCUUCCUGUAAAAGCUUAGUAUGAAAGAUGUAAGCUUUAUUUGAAGGCAAGAACGCAUGGAGACUUUUUUUCCUGGCGGAGUAUA